CAUCGCAAGAGUAAGACCCCUUGAAGAGAACGAGGUAGAUAGGACUGAGGUGUAAGUGUAGCAAUACAUUCAGCUGACAGUUACUAAUAGGUCGAGGGCUUAUCCAA
Molecule: ribosomal RNA, 107 nt
Filed under: Oribacterium parvum
Lineage: Bacteria; Bacillati; Bacillota; Clostridia; Lachnospirales; Lachnospiraceae
Description: partial 23S ribosomal RNA
Rfam family: Bacterial large subunit ribosomal RNA
Source: RNAcentral